This 139-nucleotide ribosomal RNA is filed under the name uncultured eukaryote. Its description in RNAcentral is "partial 18S ribosomal RNA". It matches the Rfam family "Eukaryotic small subunit ribosomal RNA", at positions 1299 to 1458 of the family's 1831-position model. The record is from RNAcentral.
UGGUGGAGUGAUUUGUCUGGUUAAUUCCGAUAACGAACGAGACCUUAACCUGCUAAAUAGUUACUCAAACCUUGUGUUUGUGGUUAGCUUCUUAGAGGGACUAUCUGGGUUUACCAGGUGGAAGUUUGAGGCAAUAACA